RNAcentral lists this transfer RNA (81 nucleotides) under Candidatus Giovannonibacteria bacterium RIFCSPHIGHO2_02_43_13. RNAcentral describes it as "tRNA-Leu". It matches the Rfam family "tRNA". From Rfam's summary of the family: Transfer RNA (tRNA) molecules are approximately 80 nucleotides in length. Their secondary structure includes four short double-helical elements and three loops (D, anti-codon, and T loops). RNAcentral also lists the same sequence under 3 other names. Lineage: Bacteria; Candidatus Giovannoniibacteriota. The record is from RNAcentral.
GCCCGAGUGGUGAAACGGCAAACACGCACGACUCAAAAUCGUGUGCCGAAAGGCUUGUGGGUUCAAUUCCCACCUCGGGCA